ACGGGAGGCAGCAGUGGGGAAUUUUGCGCAAUGGGGGCAACCCUGACGCAGCAACGCCGUGUGCGGGACGAAGGCCUUCGGGUUGUAAACCGCUUUCAGUAGGGAAGAAUAAUGACGGUACCUACAGAAGAAGCUCCGGCUAAAUACGUGCCAGCAGCCGCGGUAAUACGUAUGGAGCAAGCGUUAUCCGGAUUUAUUGGGCGUAAAGCGCGCGUAGGCGGUAUUUCAAGCGGAACCUUUAAACCAAGGGCUCAACCCAUGGUCGGGCUUCGAACUGGAAUACUCGAGUUCGGUAGAGGCAAGUGGAAUUCCCAGUGUAGCGGUGGAAUGCGCAGAUAUUGGGAAGAACACCGAUGGCGAAGGCAGCUUGCUGGGCCGUAACUGACGCUGAGGUGCGAAAGCUAGGGGAGCAAACAGGAUUAGAUACCCUGGUA
This 434-nucleotide ribosomal RNA is filed under the name uncultured Coriobacteriaceae bacterium. Its description in RNAcentral is "partial 16S ribosomal RNA". It matches the Rfam family "Bacterial small subunit ribosomal RNA", at positions 341 to 792 of the family's 1533-position model. The record is from RNAcentral. Lineage: Bacteria; Bacillati; Actinomycetota; Coriobacteriia; Coriobacteriales; Coriobacteriaceae.